This is a long non-coding RNA of Ipomoea nil (Japanese morning glory), 620 nucleotides long. RefSeq lists it as uncharacterized. NCBI's taxonomy places the organism in Eukaryota, Viridiplantae, Streptophyta, Magnoliopsida, Solanales, Convolvulaceae. The transcript has 3 exons. The record is from RefSeq and is a predicted model, not a curated record.
CUUUUAUUUAGGGUUUGCUUCUUUCUAUAUUUCUUCAAAUGAAUUUGUCUCCAGUCUCGAGUGAGCCGCAACCACCACAACCUCCGUAACCUCCGUAGCCGCCACCGUAGCCUCCACCUUCGUAGCUUCUUCCUCGCAGCCACCACCUCCAUAGCCAUAAGCUAUGUAGCUGCCUCCAUUGCAGAUUAGCAUCCAUGACCUCAACCUCAAGACCGCCAUAGCUAUCGGACGACAGCUCAAACUCCUAUCCACUGCCUCUCCCUCGUAUUCUCGCUGUCGUAGCCACCGUCUCCACCAUCGCGCCUCCCCCUCAAAUCCUCACCGUCGUAGCCACCGUUGCCACGCCCAGGCUCCAACUAUUGGAUGGGAGUAUUCCAGUUUUUUUAAUCCAAAAGUACCUUGUGCGGAAGUUGGACUUCAUGAGUGAUGAUGAGGACAACACAAUUUCCAAAUGGAAGACAAAAAAUUAAUUAAUGUGGAGCACUGAAGAGGAAGAUGUUCAUAAAUUCUCAGCAACGGCUAACAAAAAUAUGCCUUGGAGGAAGAUCUUAGACUUUGGUCGUCAUGUGUUUCAUCCAACCUGUAUCCCAGCUGAUCUCAAAGAUAAGUGGAGAACCAUG